RNAcentral lists this ribosomal RNA (253 nucleotides) under uncultured bacterium. Its description in RNAcentral is "partial 16S ribosomal RNA". It matches the Rfam family "Bacterial small subunit ribosomal RNA", at positions 524 to 776 of the family's 1533-position model. The record is from RNAcentral.
UACGUAGGGGGCAAGCGUUGUCCGGAUUUAUUGGGCGUAAAGAGCGUGUAGGCGGCCAGGUAGGUCCGCUGUGAAAACUCGAGGCUUAACCUCGAGAUGUCGGUGGAAACCAUCUGGCUAGAGUCCGGAAGAGGAGAGUGGAAUUCCUGGUGUAGCGGUGAAAUGCGCAGAUAUCGUAAGGAAGACCAGUGGCGAAGGCGGGUCUCUGGACAGUGCCUGACGCUGAGGCACGAAGGCCAGGGGAGCAAACGGG